UGUCCGAACAUGCCCUUGCCUC
This 22-nucleotide non-coding RNA is filed under the name Arabidopsis thaliana (thale cress). The record is from RNAcentral. Lineage: Eukaryota; Viridiplantae; Streptophyta; Magnoliopsida; Brassicales; Brassicaceae.